Heterocephalus glaber (naked mole-rat) is the source of this 4304-nucleotide long non-coding RNA. RefSeq lists it as uncharacterized. The record is from RefSeq and is a predicted model, not a curated record. Lineage: Eukaryota; Metazoa; Chordata; Mammalia; Rodentia; Bathyergidae.
CACACACACACACGCGCGCACACACGCUUUUUCUUCCUCCUCAAAUAGAUAACCCCUAUGGCGCGUCCCUGGUACCUUUUGAAUAGCACUGGAGUUUAGAGAAUAAAAAUCCUUAUAAUGUAUGGCUUGUCUUUAGCCAAACAUUUAAGCACAUAAAGGGGUGGGUGAGAGGAAGGGGGACUUGAACUAAGAGACCUUUCUUUAAAAAAAAAGAAAGUCUGCAAGUCGAAAGGUCAUUCUGUAAGUUUGUAAAUACAAUUGCAAAGGGAGUCCUUAAAAAAGAAAGAAGUGCCAAGAAGGAAGAGAAGGUAGAAAGGCCCACAAGUUCCAUAAAAUAAUGCAUUGGCAAGGCAAGGCAGGCUGAUUCUUUUAAUCGUGUGUCUUGAGAAGCCAAGUUAUUGGCGGGGGGGGCGGCUGGAGAGGAGAAAAAAAGAGAAAAAGAAAAGGGGAGAGGAAAAUAAAAGGUAGAGAAGGCAAAAGAAGUUUGCAAAGAAAUGUGUGCUUUGCGUCCUACAAUAGGAAAAUGUAGCCAUUGCCCUGCUCCAGACGAGACAUUUCUAAUUUGUUCCGUCUGUCAGGAGGGGACUAAGAGGUUUGGCUGUAAAUUCAUUAUCUCUGGCAACGCAGAACGUAGUGUGGGGACUGAAAAAGACCGUGGCAAUGGAUGAACAAUAGGGCUUCAGUUCAUCAGUAACAAAAGCAGUGGGGAAAUUGGUUGAGUUUCAGAGCACGUCCUCCUCGGCAGAGGGGGCUGGACUAGACCUUGGACAGCCCCCCCAAAAACUUGCUGAGCCUUGCACAGAGCGCUUCACUCUCCACUGCGAGCCUUAGGGAGCAAGUGCCCGCGUGGGGGGGGAAAGUUGGCUUUUUUUCCUCCUCGGUCUUUUGCGCCCUGCUCUCUCUCUUCCCACAGGGGAAGACCCGUUUAAACUAUUUUAGACGCAAUCAAGCAAGAAUCACCAUGUGGAAUUGAGCGGCAGUUUUAAAUGUGCGAAGGAGAGGAAUGAUCAGAAAAAAUUUUUUGUUUUUUUUGUUUUGUUUUUUUUUGUUUUUGUUUUUGUUUUUGGAGACGCCUAAAGGAUCCUGUGUGUGCUGCCGCCGCUCUGGGACUGGAUCUUGUCUCUUCUGGUUGGAGCGCCUCGAUUCCUGGCCUGCUGGAUUUGGGGGGCUGCACUGCCUGGCGCUGGGAGAUCAAAUGAGACUGCACAGAAGCAUAAAAUGAAUAGACUGUCCAUCCAACCAAAGACCGGGGGCAGCAGCACACCAGCAAGACGGCAUCUGUCUUCCCCAGCCUAGAAGCCCUGUGAAAUCGAGGAUCUUCCCCCUAAAACACUCACAUACAAGAUAUGUGCAAUCAAGCUGCCACCGCUUGGUAAAAAAGCUCGUGCUGCCUAACCCAAAAGGAUCAGGAGCCGAUCCUUGAAUCCGCGGUCACUUCUAUAGAACGGGAUUUCCCCCCCCCCCUUCCUCCUUAACCUGCGCUGGAAAUUGCCGUUGGCUUUUUACAUCUCUAUAGAGGAAGGCUAAAGAGUCGUGCGUGAGAACGAAGCAAUUUACAAUGCAAAUAGAGGCCUCAGAAGGGAUGGCUGCUGCUGCUCACUCCUAACAGCUUGCUGCACCUUAAUAGCUGGUUUUAUUUUCUGAUAUUAAUAGAUGAAUUGUUGGCUAACACUGCCGGAGAUUACUUGCUGAAAGGGGGAAAAAGUUCGGAAUAAACUCUGAAGGCCACAGAUCUCAUUUGGAUGUUUUAGCCCCACAUAUACAAACAGAAACCAGGUCAUAUUUACAUAAAAGGAGGAAUCUGAAGAAGGGCAAGUGUCCUGGAUAACUGACUACUCACGGUGGCAGCUCCGGAGUCUGGUAGGAGGAAGACAGAGGUGCAUGAGGGAAGCGAGUUGUUAUCUUUGGUUAUCUAGCUGUAUGAGUGUAUUGGUCUUCAUAAAGCUAGAUAACCGAAAGUAAAAACUCCUUCAAGGUCGCCGGGCAGCGUGAGAAUGAAAGACUACAACCAAGAGACAGUAAAAACCGGAAAGGUCAGGAAUACUUAUUGAAUCUAACUUUGUUUUUGUUUUUUGUUUUGUUUUUUGCUUUUUCCUUAUAAGAGUAAAGGUGGGAUACAAGGAAAUUAAGCGACACAAGAUGCUGAAAUUGAAAAGUGCCAGGGUUUGGGGGAGGGUUGUUAGGGCUGUAAAGAAUUGUAUAGUGCUCAGGGUAAAGAUGCAUGUACAAUGUGUUCUGUUUUAAGGCCAAAGUUUAUAUACGAGGGAUUUUUUUCUUCUUCUUAGCUGUUGUAGAGAUUUCUGACAACUGGUUUAAAAAUGAUUCCAUGAUUAUGUAGGCUUGGGCAGUUCCCCUCCGAGGCCCCUCCCCCCCAAUUUGAAGAUUGUGCUUGGAAACUACUUUAAAUGUAUUUGGGCUAAAUGUCAAAUGCUAUGAAAUUAGACUUUCAGAAAAGUUUAUCCUGGAAAGUUAAUAAUUUAUAACUAUUGAGGACUCAGCAGUAGCAGGGAAAAUGAAAAAAAAAAAAAAAAAGCAAAGGCUGAUUUUGAUUCUUCUAUUCAAAAUACAAGGACAGAUGCUUCUCUGUUCCAAGAGGGUUUCCUUGAGGAAGCUACUGAAGCAGAAAGACAUGAUGGAGACGAGAUCGCCUCCUCUCUUGUCAAAGUGUUAAAAAAAUGUUCUGUCUUACUCUGCGCCUAGCAUUGGAAAUGAAAGUGACAUUUACGCCAGAACCCACGUGGGCGCCUCCUCUCUUUUUGUUUAAGGAUGAUCAGGUCUAUCCAGGAAACAGCUCUGGCAUCCCAAACUGAAAUAAUUAGGACGUAUAUAGACCUGACAAAAAUGGAAAGGGGGUGGGGAAUCGCAGGGUCUGUCUUGCCUAAUUGAUUCCGCUAAACGGAACGAGGAGAUGUGAACGGCGGGACGCUCCGAUUCCCACGCUCGGGGGCAGGGGGUAAGGCGGCCGGCAGCCUAUGACAGACAGCCCUGUUGGAGGGUAGGGUAUGAAAAAAACAUCCAGUGCACACACCAUACUCAACUCCACCGCUUAAGAAGGUAAAGGCAUUUCCCACCCACAGACAUCUGCAGGCUCCCAAAUGGCAGCGCCAACUGGUCUGCUUGCUGCUCGCUGGUUUUUUUGUUUUUUUGUGUUUUUUUUGAACCGCUGUUUAAUCUGCUGGCCAGGAUAAAGUUUGGCUUCUGAAGUUUGGUUGAGAUUUUUCAAUAUGUAAGGAGACCUGGUAGAAAAUGAUUCCAAGAAAGUCCCAUCAUGCCCGCCCUGGGAGACAUCCUUGGUCUGGCCGGGGGCCUGGUGAACACCCUUUCUUUCGAGUUUUUGUUUUGGCUGGGGUAUACUUUCCAGUACACAGCUCGGUGCCACAGUCUCAGUUAUGACUUCAUCAGCUUGUUUACCUCUUAAUGUGACACGCAGAGGAGCGAGGCGCCCGGAAGCUAAUUGAUGCCUACUAGAAGUGAAACUGUAAAGUCAUCAGCCCAGAGAGAGUGGAUUACAGUAGCAGGGUGAGAAAAGCUCGUUUUGGAGUAGUCCCAGCUGGAUGCACUCUAAACGGCCAUUUUUGUUUAAUUUGAAAAUAACUACGCCUGGCAUACACUUUGGGGUUAUGAAGGUCCGCACUGCAACCCCUGAAAGUCUUUACAUUGGGCCACAUCACCAAGCCAACAUUUGUAUGGGCAUUGACACAUAAAUACAACCACUGCGAUGAGAAAAUGACUGGAACAGCCUACGACCAUCCACAGGGCCUAGAUUACUGACACUCCCAACUAGCCCACCACUCUUCAAAGGCAGUCCAUUUCCCUUUGUAGCUUCUACUCCUGGUAAGACUUCAGACUGGAAAAGCCAGUAAAACCACUGUUAAUUUCACUUAGAAGCUCAGAGAGACUUUAAUAAGGUAAAUUCUCUGUUUGGCUGCUGAACACGCGCCAAAGUUUUACUACCCUGGUGACCAUUGUGAAGACCCUUGUUUAUUUACAUUUGAAGCACUGUUUGUGCAAACAACCUUUCCUUGUUAAGUGCCUGUAUUUCUUUCAUUUACUUCGUGUCCAGGGGUGCUAUUUACCUAGAAGCAUUGUCUACUACAAUUACAUUUACAUUACAAAGUGUGUGGUUUUUCUUUCUCAAGGAGGUUCAAUUAAGGCAAUAAGAUGUUUGCUGGGGAAACCUAUUGUUUACUGAAAGCACUCAAUGGAGUCAAAUUACUGAAGCUUUUUGCCUACAUCUUGGUCUUUUCUGUAAAUAUGUGAAAUAUAACAUCUAAGGAAAAUAAACAAUAUUAUAAUUACGUGUU